RNAcentral lists this non-coding RNA (36 nucleotides) under unclassified sequences. RNAcentral describes it as "DUF805b RNA". It matches the Rfam family "DUF805b RNA". From Rfam's summary of the family: Bacteroidetes, Chlorobi (1 example), Proteobacteria. Lineage (Flavobacteria) The record is from RNAcentral.
UAGGCAGUAUCCGAAAAGCCUUCAAUAGAGUAGGAG